This 2824-nucleotide long non-coding RNA is filed under the name Sus scrofa (pig). RNAcentral describes it as "lncRNA (ENSSSCG00040011667.1)". The record is from RNAcentral. Lineage: Eukaryota; Metazoa; Chordata; Mammalia; Artiodactyla; Suidae.
AGAAAGAGGCAGACGAGGAAAAAAGACUUUCUUUUUCUUUCUAGAGGAAUUCUGCCCAGACCCAGCAGCAGUUGGUAGCAAGCAAGCUUUCUCCUGGGUGUCUCCUGGAAAAGUUGCAAAAUUGCUCUUCACCUAAGAGAAGACUUGGGGUUCAGAGCCGCCCCCCCUCUCCUGCAGUGGAAAUGGACUUCCCUCGGGUCCAGUACAGGACUUCCCACACAGGCGGGUGGGUGAGUGCCCUUGGCGUUGCCCUCAUUGAUCCGGCUGGACACCAGAAACAGAUAAUCUGGUGAGCAGCUGAGGCACAGACUACCUGGGCUCCCACUUAGAGGCUGAUAUAGGACUGAAGAAGCAGCUGCUCUGUCAAACCUAGAGAUCUUGAACCUGAGGGCUGUGGACAUAUUCUUUGUAUCUUCCCUGCAGCUUGGCACCAGGGCCCCACCCAUGGCAUUGAAGUUCCCAGGCUAGGGGUUGAAUUGGAGCUGCAGCUGCCAGCCUACACCACAGCCACAGCAAUGAUGGAUCCUUAACCCACUGAGCAAGGCCAGGGAUAGAACCCAUGUCCUCAUGGAUAUCAGUUGGUUUGUUAUUGCUGAGUUGCAGUGGGAACUCCCCUGCUUUUAAUUUUUUUGGGUAUAAACCUAGGUGUGGAAUCGCUGUAUCAUAUGCUACUUCUAUGUUUAACUCUUUGGGAAACCACCAAAAUGUUCUCUAUAGCAGCUGCAUCAUUUUAUAGUCUCACCAGCAAUCCAUGAAAGUUUUAAUUUCUCCACGUCCUCACCAACACUUUUUUUCAGUCUUUUUAAAAUUAUAGCCAUCCUAAUAGAUGUGAUGUGGUAGCUCAUUAUGAUUUUACCUGAUUUUUUUCCUAGCCUUUAACAUUAUAUGUUGUCUUGUUAUUUUUUUCUUCGUGUGGUUUGCUAGUCUGGAAAUCCGUGAAGGCAGGACCACUUCUGUAUGUUCAAUUCUAUAUUUUCAGCAUCCAAAACCAUUCCUGUCACAUGCAGACAUUCUGUUGAAAAAGUAAAUGCACGGAUGGUGUCCUGGAAGCACUCUAUGAUUAUCCCUGGUAAUUUGCUUGUCCUAAGAUCAAUGCUUAAACAACAGCACAUGAACUAGAUAACAACUCCACAGUUAUUUGUAUCAGGCAUCAGAAAAAUCUUUCUGGGAGCCUUGAAACGAUGGACACCACUAUCUUAGGACUUCUAAAAGUGAAGACCAAACACAAUUUAAAUAAAAAGAUAUGUCAUAAAAGACGUACAUCAACCUCAGUAAUUAGAAUUGGAAUUCAAAGUGAAUCAAUUAAAAAAUUUCACAAAGCCUGCAUGGAAAACUGCACACUGCCCCUUUUUCAAGCUGUCCAACACUUAGGUUGCUUUGUUUCAAGUAGAAAUGGAGUGAAAAUAUGGCAGUGGGAGGAGCUACGGCACGGAAACCCAAGUCAGAAAUUGCUAACUACUGAGUCAAGCUGGUUGAUAAGAAAGCCACAGGUGCUGUACAACUUUCUGUUUAUAACCAUAGGAAGAAAAAAAUUUCAUCUCUUAAACUGAAACCUGAACAUUACUGACUCAUUCAGAACAAUGUGUGAUCUUAACACAUGGCUUCUGUGCGUUUUAUAAACACACAAUUUCACAACUGAAAGCUUUCGGGGAUUCCAUUUGCUAUGCUGAGAGACUCCCUGGAUGGAGGGGUCCUGGAAAUGCCUGAGGAACUCCAAGCAAACAGGAAGUGUGGGCAGCGCUGCACCGUGAAGAAUUGCAAAGCACAGUGCCGCGUCUAUCACAGCCGCCCACCUGGGCACCACCCAACUUUGCACGAUCUGUUUGCUCAUGUUGCAAACACAAACAAAAUCGUGUAUAUUGUGUAGUCCACAGUUGUUCCUGGUCACUCUCUGGGUUACUAAGCCAAAUUGCAUAAUGUUUAUAUUUUGAAAUCACAAACUUGUACCUCGGAAGGGCUCAUAGAGCAUUUUAAUAAAUGGUCAGAGUAACGCCCGUAAAGGAAGUAGAGGAAGGAAUUGAUGGGCUCCUGACCAUCAAAGAAGAUAGGAGACACACUUGAAGGCAGCUCUCCCAGCCAGAAUAGAUUUACCUGAAGCUAAUGGGGCUGCACAUGUUGUAACCGCUUUAGAACACCCAGCCUGCACGGGGCCUUCCACGGGCAAGAGAGGGAGGAGCUAUUUUUUGAAAGUGCCUGUUGUUUUUUCCUAAAGAGGCUCCCAAAUGUAUGUGCUUCAGCCCUCCAAAACUUGAAUCCACGCAGCCUCUGCUUUCUCUAGCCUUUCUCUGAAAUUAUGGAAAAUUCUUUUAUUAACCAUUUCAUAUAGAAAAACACUGGCAGAUACAGCGAUUUUUUGGGGGGCACCUUUAUGGGGCCUAGCACAGAGCCCUCCACAUUGCUGGGCUCACUGUUCAUUUGAUAUAAAACAUUAAAUAAGUAAAAACAAAGCAUAUUGCUCGUGUGUGUGUGUGUGUGUGUGUGUGUGUGUGUGUGUGUCUGAUACUCAUCUUGAAUGUUUGGCUUUAGAUGUUCAAGGUUUACCAAAAAAUGAAAACAUCAGUUUUACUCCAAAGACCUGUGUGGGAGUAAAUGAACGUUUAUCUAUGAGGACCAAUGAAAAGGGACUGAGGGAGAGCCCUGAGCUUUUGUUGGAAGACUCUGGGCAAGGGCUAAUAAAAUAAUUUCCUAUCUGUUCUUGUUAUUUAGCAUACAUACCUUUAUAUUUUGUUUUAUUCAUUAGCAAACUGAAAAUCUGUGACUUUUAGAGUGAGCUAUUAUAUAUUUCUACUCAAAUACCGCUUCAAUUAAAAUAGAUUUGCACAAA